Molecule: long non-coding RNA, 605 nt
Organism: Magnolia sinica
Lineage: Eukaryota; Viridiplantae; Streptophyta; Magnoliopsida; Magnoliales; Magnoliaceae
Exons: 4
Source: RefSeq, a predicted model, not a curated record
UUUUAUUUGUGCGUAUUUAUCCAUCUUCUGUUUGCAUUUUUGUUUUGGAAUUUUUUAUUUAUGGAUUUUCAGAGAUUAGAGAUGGUUUCCAACAAAUGCACAACCCUUAUCAAGUAAGGGGUUUUUGGAGAUUGGAGAUGGUGGGCUAGAGAUGCAGCGGUAAGGGUUUCGAAUUUGCGGCUGGAGGUGGGUUUGGAGCUUGCAACUAGAGGAAGGUUACCACACAUUUUUUGGGGGAUUCUGGAACUACUUUAGCCUGGGAAUGGACGCUCAUGUAUCUUAUGCAUUUCACUCGGAACGAAAGUUGCAUCCUGAAAAAUUCAAAAAUCAAAUAGUUAAUCAGGGGGAUUUAUCUGGUAACUUGCUAUAUGGAGAUAUUCCGUUCUCGACAUCUAGGCUCAAACAGCUUGCUAUAUGGAGAUAUUCCGGUAUCUUGCUAUGUAGGACCUUGAAAUGAAACCCACAUUUGUUCCUAAGUCUGUCAAGGCUAUUGCCAUGUUAUUCUUGGCAAUCUCAAAAUUUGGAAACACCGUCAAACUCGUGACACAGUAGAACAUCCAUCACUAAAGAUAAAUAUCAAUCAAAAUGUUUAUAGUUGUCUUUUU